This 464-nucleotide ribosomal RNA is filed under the name Vreelandella stevensii. Its description in RNAcentral is "partial 16S ribosomal RNA". It matches the Rfam family "Bacterial small subunit ribosomal RNA", at positions 338 to 795 of the family's 1533-position model. The record is from RNAcentral. Lineage: Bacteria; Pseudomonadati; Pseudomonadota; Gammaproteobacteria; Oceanospirillales; Halomonadaceae.
CCUACGGGAGGCUGCAGUGGGGAAUAUUGGACAAUGGGGGGAACCCUGAUCCAGCCAUGCCGCGUGUGUGAAGAAGGCCCUCGGGUUGUAAAGCACUUUCAGUGAGGAAGAACGCCUGGUGGUUAAUACCCAUCAGGAAAGACAUCACUCACAGAAGAAGCACCGGCUAACUCCGUGCCAGCAGCCGCGGUAAUACGGAGGGUGCGAGCGUUAAUCGGAAUUACUGGGCGUAAAGCGCGCGUAGGUGGCUUGAUAAGCCGGUUGUGAAAGCCCCGGGCUCAACCUGGGAACGGCAUCCGGAACUGUCAAGCUAGAGUGCAGGAGAGGAAGGUAGAAUUCCCGGUGUAGCGGUGAAAUGCGUAGAGAUCGGGAGGAAUACCAGUGGCGAAGGCGGCCUUCUGGACUGACACUGACACUGAGGUGCGAAAGCGUGGGUAGCAAACAGGAUAGAUACCCGAGUAGUC